RNAcentral lists this transfer RNA (67 nucleotides) under Paragyrodactylus variegatus. RNAcentral's name for it is "tRNA-Arg". Lineage: Eukaryota; Metazoa; Platyhelminthes; Monogenea; Gyrodactylidea; Gyrodactylidae. The record is from RNAcentral.
UCUAAAGUCCUAAAAUUUAGGGUUAAUGUUUCGGCCGUUAAUUUGUGAUAAAUAUUCACCUUUGGGU